UAAUCCAUUCUUGGGUUAAUGAAAGUGUCU
This 30-nucleotide non-coding RNA is filed under the name Rattus norvegicus (Norway rat). The record is from RNAcentral. Lineage: Eukaryota; Metazoa; Chordata; Mammalia; Rodentia; Muridae.